RNAcentral lists this ribosomal RNA (1133 nucleotides) under Klebsiella pneumoniae. Its description in RNAcentral is "partial 23S ribosomal RNA". It matches the Rfam family "Bacterial large subunit ribosomal RNA", at positions 1762 to 2887 of the family's 2925-position model. The record is from RNAcentral. Lineage: Bacteria; Pseudomonadati; Pseudomonadota; Gammaproteobacteria; Enterobacterales; Enterobacteriaceae.
UGGAGCUGAGACCAGUCGAAGAUACCAGCUGGCUGCAACUGUUUAUUAAAAACACAGCACUGUGCAAACACGAAAGUGGACGUAUACGGUGUGACGCCUGCCCGGUGCCGGAAGGUUAAUUGAUGGGGUUAUCCGUAAGGAGAAGCUCUUGAUCGAAGCCCCGGUAAACGGCGGCCGUAACUAUAACGGUCCUAAGGUAGCGAAAUUCCUUGUCGGGUAAGUUCCGACCUGCACGAAUGGCGUAAUGAUGGCCAGGCUGUCUCCACCCGAGACUCAGUGAAAUUGAACUCGCUGUGAAGAUGCAGUGUACCCGCGGCAAGACGGAAAGACCCCGUGAACCUUUACUAUAGCUUGACACUGAACAUUGAGCCUUGAUGUGUAGGAUAGGUGGGAGGCUUUGAAGCGUGGACGCCAGUCUGCGUGGAGCCAACCUUGAAAUACCACCCUUUAAUGUUUGAUGUUCUAACGUUGGCCCCUUACCGGGGUUGCGGACAGUGUCUGGUGGGUAGUUUGACUGGGGCGGUCUCCUCCCAAAGCGUAACGGAGGAGCACGAAGGUUAGCUAAUCCUGGUCGGACAUCAGGAGGUUAGUGCAAUGGCAUAAGCUAGCUUGACUGCGAGCGUGACGGCGCGAGCAGGUGCGAAAGCAGGUCAUAGUGAUCCGGUGGUUCUGAAUGGAAGGGCCAUCGCUCAACGGAUAAAAGGUACUCCGGGGAUAACAGGCUGAUACCGCCCAAGAGUUCAUAUCGACGGCGGUGUUUGGCACCUCGAUGUCGGCUCAUCACAUCCUGGGGCUGAAGUAGGUCCCAAGGGUAUGGCUGUUCGCCAUUUAAAGUGGUACGCGAGCUGGGUUUAGAACGUCGUGAGACAGUUCGGUCCCUAUCUGCCGUGGGCGCUGGAGAAUUGAGGGGGGCUGCUCCUAGUACGAGAGGACCGGAGUGGACGCAUCACUGGUGUUCGGGUUGUCAUGCCAAUGGCACUGCCCGGUAGCUAAAUGCGGAAGAGAUAAGUGCUGAAAGCAUCUAAGCACGAAACUUGCCCCGAGAUGAGUUCUCCCUGAGACUUUAAGUCUCCUGAAGGAACGUUAACGACGAUGACGUUUAUCGGCCGGGUGUGUAAGCGCAGCGAUGCGUU